CGUGAGGGAAAGGCGAAAAGAACCCCGGCGAGGGGAGUGAAAAAGAACCUGAAACCGUGUACGUACAAGCAGUGGGAGCCUCUUAAUGGGGUGACUGCGUACCUUUUGUAUAAUGGGUCAGCGACUUAUAUUCUGUAGCAAGGUUAACCGAAUAGGGGAGCCGAAGGGAAACCGAGUCUUAACUGGGCGUUAAGUUGCAGGGUAUAGACCCGAAACCCGGUGAUCUAGCCAUGGGCAGGUUGAAGGUUGGGUAACACUAACUGGAGGACCGAACCGACUAAUGUUGAAAAAUUAGCGGAUGACUUGUGGCUGGGGGUGAAAGGCCAAUCAAACCGGGAGAUAGCUGGUUCUCCCCGAAAGCUAUUUAGGUAGCGCCUCGUGAAUUCAUCUCCGGGGGUAGAGCACUGUUUCGGCAAGGGGGUCAUCCCGACUUACCAACCCGAUGCAAACUGCGAAUACCGGAGAAUGUUAUCACGGGAGACACACGGCGGGUGCUAACGUCCGUCGUGAAGAGGGAAACAACCCAGACCGCCAGCUAAGGUCCCAAAGUCAUGGUUAAGUGGGAAACGAUGUGGGAAGGCCCAGACAGCCAGGAUGUUGGCUUAGAAGCAGCCAUCAUUUAAAGAAAGCGUAAUAGCUCACUGGUCGAGUCGGCCUGCGCGGAAGAUGUAACGGGGCUAAACCAUG
RNAcentral lists this ribosomal RNA (687 nucleotides) under Escherichia coli. RNAcentral's name for it is "partial 23S ribosomal RNA". It matches the Rfam family "Bacterial large subunit ribosomal RNA", at positions 502 to 1191 of the family's 2925-position model. Lineage: Bacteria; Pseudomonadati; Pseudomonadota; Gammaproteobacteria; Enterobacterales; Enterobacteriaceae. The record is from RNAcentral.